UAGGGAAUCUUCGGCAAUGGGGGCAACCCUGACCGAGCAACGCCGCGUGAGUGAAGAAGGUUCUCGGAUCGUAAAGCUCUGUUGUAAGUCAAGAACGAGUGUGAGAGUGGAAAGUUCACACUGUGACGGUAGCUUACCAGAAAGGGACGGCUAACUACGUGCCAGCAGCCGCGGUAAUACGUAGGUCCCGAGCGUUGUCCGGAUUUAUUGGGCGUAAAGCGAGCGCAGGCGGUUUGAUAAGUCUGAAGUUAAAGGCUGUGGCUCAACCAUAGUUCGCUUUGGAAACUGUCAAACUUGAGUGCAGAAGGGGAGAGUGGAAUUCCAUGUGUAGCGGUGAAAUGCGUAGAUAUAUGGAGGAACACCGGUGGCGAAAGCGGCUCUCUGGUCUGUAACUGACGCUGAGGCUCGAAAGCGUGGGGAGCGAACAGGAUUAGAUACCCUGGUAGUCCACGCCGUNNCGAUGAGUGCUAGGUGUUGGAUCCUUUCCGGGAUUCAGUGCCGCAGCUAACGCAUUAAGCACUCCGCCUGGGGAGUACGACCGCAAGGUUG
This 549-nucleotide ribosomal RNA is filed under the name uncultured bacterium. RNAcentral's name for it is "bacterial SSU rRNA". It matches the Rfam family "Bacterial small subunit ribosomal RNA", at positions 355 to 896 of the family's 1533-position model. The record is from RNAcentral.